RNAcentral lists this ribosomal RNA (643 nucleotides) under uncultured actinomycete. RNAcentral describes it as "bacterial SSU rRNA". It matches the Rfam family "Bacterial small subunit ribosomal RNA", at positions 232 to 885 of the family's 1533-position model. The record is from RNAcentral. Lineage: Bacteria; Bacillati; Actinomycetota; Actinomycetes; Actinomycetales.
CGCGGCCUAUCAGCUUGUUGGCGGGGCAACGGCCCACCAAGGCGACGACGGGUAGCUGGUCUGAGAGGACGGCCAGCCACACUGGGACUGAGACACGGCCCAGACUCCUACGGGAGGCAGCAGUGGGGAAUCUUGCGCAAUGGGCGAAAGCCUGACGCAGCGACGCCGCGUGGGGGAUGAAGGCCCUCGGGUUGUAAACCCCUUUCGGCAGGGACGAAGCGAAAGUGACGGUACCUGCAGAAGAAGCUCCGGCUAACUACGUGCCAGCAGCCGCGGUAAGACGUAGGGAGCGAGCGUUGUCCGGAUUUAUUGGGCGUAAAGCGCGCGUAGGCGGCCGUGCAAGUCGGUUGUGAAAUUCCGGGGCUCAACCCCGGGACUGCGUCCGAUACUGUGCGGCUCGAGGCAGGCAGGGGAGAGUGGAAUUCCCGGUGUAGCGGUGAUAUGCGCAGAUAUCGGGAGGAACACCGGUGGCGAAGGCGGCUCUCUGGGCCUGUCCUGACGCUCAGGCGCGAAAGCUAGGGGAACGAACAGGAUUAGAUACCCUGGUAGUCCUAGCCGUAAACGUUGGGCGCUAGGUGUGGGGAGAUAUCGACCCUUUCCGUGCCGAAGCUAACGCAUUAAGCGCCCCGCCUGGGGAGUACGG